GGGGCUGAGUAAAGUGGCGAACGGGUGAGUAACGCGUGGGUAAUCUACCCUCAGGUGGGGAAUAACUCGGGGAAACCUGGGCUAAUACCGCAUAACAUCACACUGGUUUCGGCCGGAGUGAUCAAAGGUGGCGCGGUUCGACCGCUGCCGCCGGAGGAUGAGCCCGCGUCCCAUUAGCUUGUUGGUGGGGUAACGGCCUACCAAGGCUCCGAUGGGUAGCCGGCCUGAGAGGGUGUCCGGCCACACUGGAACUGAGACACGGUCCAGACUCCUACGGGAGGCAGCAGUGGGGAAUAUUGGGCAAUGGGCGAAAGCCUGACCCAGCGACGCCGCGUGGGUGAUGAAGGCCCUUGGGUCGUAAAACCCUGUCAUGCGGGACGAAAGCCCGGGCUCUAACAUAGCUCGGGUCUGACGGUACCGCAGGAGGAAGCCCCGGCUAACUCCGUGCCAGCAGCCGCGGUAACACGGAGGGGGCGAGCGUUAUUCGGAAUUAUUGGGCGUAAAGGGCAGGCAGGCGGUCUUGUGUGUCCUCUGUGAAAGCCCUCGGCUCAACCGAGGAAUUGCAGGGGAAACUGCGAGACUUGAGUCCGGGAGAGGCUAGUGGAAUUCCCAGUGUAGCGGUGAAAUGCGUAGAUAUUGGGAGGAACACCAGUGGCGAAGGCGGCUAGCUGGACCGGUACUGACGCUAAACUGCGAAAGCCAGGGGAGCGAACGGGAUUAGAUACCCCGGUAGUCCUGGCUGUAAACGAUGAGCACUUGGUGUGGCGGGUAUCG
Molecule: ribosomal RNA, 774 nt
Filed under: uncultured bacterium
Lineage: Bacteria
Description: bacterial SSU rRNA
Rfam family: Bacterial small subunit ribosomal RNA
Source: RNAcentral